CCAGCAGGGAGAGGCUCACAAGGAAGGGAAGAACUUGUAUGGAGUUGCCAGAGGGAUACUUACUACCUUUGGGAUUAUAAGCCUUUCCCCCCACCCUGGAUUUUUGCAUUUUUGCUGUGUUUUUUUAUGGGUGCUUUAAGUGAUGCAGUGGGACAAGCACAACAAGCUUGAAGGACUAAAAGCUCAGGACAAAGAAAAGGUUUUUUCGUGGCACUGUCAUUUCUGCUGUCCUCCUACCAAGAAGAUGACUGCAGUACUUUAUGGCUUCCCUACCCUUCCAUCAACCUUGGGAUGUUUAUUUUUCUUCAAACAUAGCUGUUUGCAGCAUGCUAACAAGAACUGAAGAUCUUUUAACACUGCUAUUUGUUUACUGAAGACAUCAAAGCCUUUUUUUCCACGAGCCUCCUUUGAGCCGGUACAAUCUGCAAACAGCCCUGCAACACCGAGGUGUGUUUUGUGCCUCCAAAAUAAAACCAUAGUGCACCGUGAAGAUACAGGUAUUUUCUUAUCUCAGGUUCUAAACUUAGCUCUGCUUCAUCCCUCAUUCCUCAGCUCCUCAAACUGUUUGCCCCCAGCCCAGAGCCCUGCAGGUCCAGCAGACCUUCCUGCUGCCUUCCAGUUGGGUGGAGGGACACAGCUGCCAACGUGGACUGUGGCAGGGAUAGCAGCUAAUCUAAAACAAAUAUUUUGCAACGGCUAUGAGCAGAAGCAUUUCCCUGUUUUACUUUGAUGGCCGAGAUGCUAACGGGAAGCAGCGCUCCAUUAUUUAGUGUUAGGUCCUGUCAGCUUUCAGUUCAGACACAGCCUGUGGGUGCUGGGAAAUACACAGUGCAGGAAAUGACAGAUGUUGGCAGCAAAAUAAAUAACAAGAGCUGCUGAAAAUAAAGUCCUAAGAAAUGCUGGUGUAUCCUUUUUAUGGAUUUCCUAGAUACAUUGAGGCUAUUUUAAGGCAGAUUGAACUCCCACUCCUUACAGUGUAAACAGGAUUAUUCCCUCUGUGGGACAUAUGGCAGCCCAGACGUCAUCAUUUGUGCAUCACUGGUAUUCCCAGUCAUGUUUCACGUUUUGCCUCACCCUAAACACACAUCACAUCAUUCAGAGCCUCCCAGCAGCCUUCAGGGAGCAUUAAACAGUCCCAGUACAUCCCAAAAAACAUCUCCAUGGAGGACAACCUAAAGGCUGGCCACAGAGAAGGACCUACUGGAGUGGAACCAAGAGAUCAGCUCCCUCAGGUCAGCUGUGGUAUGGACAACAGGAAGAAAAGGACAGCAGAGGAGGAGGAUGGAACAAGGGCUGACCAAUGGGGGUUUUAUUCCACAAUGAAGUAACUUGCCCUGAGAUGCAUUGGUUGCAUUGGAUGCACCCUGAG
Long non-coding RNA from Vidua macroura (Pin-tailed whydah), 1369 nucleotides. RefSeq lists it as uncharacterized. The record is from RefSeq and is a predicted model, not a curated record. The transcript has 3 exons. NCBI's taxonomy places the organism in Eukaryota, Metazoa, Chordata, Aves, Passeriformes, Viduidae.